CUCCGGAUGGCCAAGCUGGUAAGGCGUCAGGCUGUAAUUGAUUUCCAAAAUUACCUGAAAAUCGCGUGUUCGAGUCACGCUCCGGAGA
Molecule: transfer RNA, 88 nt
Filed under: Lipomyces starkeyi
Lineage: Eukaryota; Fungi; Ascomycota; Lipomycetes; Lipomycetales; Lipomycetaceae
Also listed under: 1 other name
Description: tRNA-Tyr
Rfam family: tRNA
About the family: Transfer RNA (tRNA) molecules are approximately 80 nucleotides in length.
Source: RNAcentral